This 773-nucleotide unclassified non-coding RNA is filed under the name Hevea brasiliensis (rubber tree). Lineage: Eukaryota; Viridiplantae; Streptophyta; Magnoliopsida; Malpighiales; Euphorbiaceae. The record is from RNAcentral.
AAACAGUGGCCGGAACAAUCGCGAAGACGCCGCCGCCGCCGCCUCCCGCCUCCCGCCGUUCCCCUUAAGGAACAGAUUUUCCGAUAUUCUGCUUCAAUAUUCAGCAAAUACAGGCUCAAUCCUUGUUCAUUCGUAAAAUGGCAAACAGGCACACUAUUGUUCUCAUGCAGACAUCUCAGAACCGAGCAACUCGCACUUUCAUGGAUUACGAGUCAAUAAGUCAAGCAAUGGAUGGAAUUUGUGCUUUGUAUGAGAGGAAACUCAAGGAAUUAAACCCAGCCAUCAGAGAAAUCACUUACGACAUUUCAGAUCUUUACAAUUUCAUAGAUGGCCUUGCUGAUAUGAGUGCAUUAGUGUAUGAUCACUCAAUCCAGGCUUACCUCCCCUAUGACCGGCAGUGGAUAAAACAGAAAACAUUGCAACACCUGAAAAAACUGGCAUCGCAGAGAUAAUAUAUCUUAAAGGCUAGUUUCUAUAUACCAUUUUCACUUAAUUUCCUGAUAGCUUUUAUGAAUAGAAGAGCUGUGGAUUGGAAGUUGCUGUCAGGAGUAAAAAUCUAUGUACGAUAUACGCUUCUUUUCCCUGAACUCCAAAAACUAUCUGCAGGGGGAAACCAACUGUUGUCGGAACUGAACCUAUACUGGCGUUGCAUUUCGAAUCAUGGAUGUAUAACUAUGCAUAGUUCUGUAAAUUGAGCACUUUAAACUUUGCUAAUGAUUUUAUCUCUCAGUUACUGAGUCUCAUCUCUUGUCAGUACAUUUACUUGAACAAAU